RNAcentral lists this ribosomal RNA (621 nucleotides) under uncultured Idiomarina sp. RNAcentral describes it as "bacterial SSU rRNA". It matches the Rfam family "Bacterial small subunit ribosomal RNA", at positions 778 to 1395 of the family's 1533-position model. Lineage: Bacteria; Pseudomonadati; Pseudomonadota; Gammaproteobacteria; Alteromonadales; Idiomarinaceae. The record is from RNAcentral.
UUAGAUACCCUGGUAGUCCACGCCGUAAACGAUGUCAACUAGUUGUUCGUGUCAUAAACGAUGUGAGUAACGCAGCUAACGCACUAAGUUGACCGCCUGGGGAGUACGGCCGCAAGGUUAAAACUCAAAUGAAUUGACGGGGGCCCGCACAAGCGGUGGAGCAUGUGGUUUAAUUCGAUGCAACGCGAAGAACCUUACCAUCCCUUGACAUCCAGUGAAUUUUCUAGAGAUAGAUAAGUGCCUUCGGGAACACUGAGACAGGUGCUGCAUGGCUGUCGUCAGCUCGUGUUGUGAGAUGUUGGGUUAAGUCCCGCAACGAGCGCAACCCUUAUCCUUAGUUGCCAGCGCGUAAAGGCGGGAACUCUGGGGAGACUGCCGGUGAUAAACCGGAGGAAGGUGGGGACGACGUCAAGUCAUCAUGGCCCUUACGGGAUGGGCUACACACGUGCUACAAUGGCGCGUACAAUGGGAAGCUAACUCGCGAGAGUGUGCGGAUCUCAAAAAGCGCGUCGUAGUCCGGAUUGGAGUCUGCAACUCGACUCCAUGAAGUCGGAAUCGCUAGUAAUCGUGGAUCAGAAUGCCACGGUGAAUACGUUUCCCGGGCCUUGUACACACCCGCCC